CCCCCACACCCCCUUUUAUAAUACAGCUGCGCUUCUCAAAGCAUUCUCAGCUACCAGCAACAGAAUCUUGCUCCCUUUUGCAUUUUUAAAAGCUUGGAAACACUCACUUCUCAGCAUAUUAAUGGCGUCAGAGAUGAAAGAGGUUGAGAGACAUAGCUGAAACCCAAGGUCCUUUUGGAGAUGCUCACUUUAGAGAAAAGGACAGCUCAAACAGAAGAGGACUUGAGGUCCCACCACAGUGCUCAUGAAGAAGGAUAACCUGCAUCAGUGCAGCUUUCUUUGCACCAUCAGACACAGUGUUCAUUUGAUAAACCUGCAAGAAGUAAGGCGUAACAGUUCCCAGAAACAUGGUAAUGUUGCUGUUUACAUCUUAACCUGCCUUUCCAUGUUCUAAGCACUUGACGGAUAUUCCCUAAUCCAUCUGGGAAUUCAGCUCUGUACAGUCCAUAUAGAAAAAGCAGCUCUUGAGAAGACAACGACAGUCAAGGAGAACCACUUGAGGCAGGUUAGGAUGACCCUUUACAAAGGAAGAACAUUGUGGGACCAAGGCAGAGUUGAACUACGAACUACGAAUGAACUACGAAACACCAGAUAGAAAGUUUGAAUAACAAUCUAAACUGUUGGCUGAAAAACUCAUGUCUCUGUGUGAUGCCAAAUGUCUGAAUCUUCUGAGAGUCACUGAUACAGGACCUCAGCCAAUGCAUCUGUUGUCUGUUUGGACUGUACUUAAAAAAAAAAAAAAAAAAGAUCUGCUUUAUUAAGCUGCUCUCAUUUGAUCCUUAGCCAUGGAAAUCUCUGCAGUUUACUGCAGAUGGAAGACUCUCUAUCUUGCCAGUGCCAAUGAGGGUUGCCAGCCAUGGCUGGCAACCUGGAAUUAUUCUGAGAUGAACACGUUCAAAACCAUCCACAAAUUGAUAUUAAUCAUAAUAAUACCUGUAUAAGAGCAAUCUAAUGGUUACAGUGACAUUACAUUAGUAUUUUGAUGAUUGGACAGUGGAACAGACUGAGUUAAAAUACCAGAGAUUUACAGUUUGUCUAAGAGACUGAAUGGUUUAAAUCCCACAACUGACCAGGCAACCAGAACUUGAAAAUUAGAAUGUGCAAGAAUUUAAAUGAGUUGAUUUCUGCCUGUAACGAAUCCUUCUUUUGUUUACAUUUUUGCUUUUAUAUAUGUCCUUCUAUUAUAUAUCAGAUGAAUAAAGGCUAUUUAUACUUCGGUUUUUUUAAAGAA
This is a long non-coding RNA of Dromaius novaehollandiae (emu), 1231 nucleotides long. RefSeq lists it as uncharacterized. The transcript has 4 exons. The record is from RefSeq and is a predicted model, not a curated record. NCBI's taxonomy places the organism in Eukaryota, Metazoa, Chordata, Aves, Casuariiformes, Dromaiidae.